This is a long non-coding RNA of Chenopodium quinoa (quinoa), 3512 nucleotides long. RefSeq lists it as uncharacterized. The record is from RefSeq and is a predicted model, not a curated record. NCBI's taxonomy places the organism in Eukaryota, Viridiplantae, Streptophyta, Magnoliopsida, Caryophyllales, Amaranthaceae. The transcript is spliced from 3 exons.
AAUUUUUUUUUUUUUUUUUUGUGCAUUUUUUUCUGGUCCCUUUUCUUUCAAUUCAAACCCUAAUUCCUAAAACAAUUUUGAUACACACAAAUUUCUCAAUAUCAUAUCCAGAUCCCCAAAUUUCCCUUCUUCCAUUUCCAGCUCCUUUCCCUCUUUCCAUGGUUGACGCUAGCUUAGGGUUUUUAGUAGAAAAUUGAUGAAAUAUAUACAGAAAUUUAAUGACGGUGGAGAAGAUCAGAGGGAGGGUAGAACAUAUUUGUACGAUGGGAGAAGGGAGCUGGUGGUAGUGGUGGUUCCCGAUUUAAGUUGUAUUGUCUUGGUAUCCGUCCCCGUUCACCUCCUCGCUCGCCUCACCUUCUCCUAGAGAAGCUUAAGAAAUCAAUGGCGGCAACAGAGUUUGAACAAGUGAGGAGAUGAUCGAUGAUUUAGAGGAAGACUAAAAUAUCGACGGCAACUCAAACACCGUAAAACCCAGCAUAAUUAAUAAUUUUGGGUGAAGUGGAUUGUAUGCUUGACAUGGGGUUUGAACAAGAUGUUUGUUCUAUAUUGAGCCAAACAAGCUCUUGUAUGUUAUGAUUUCAUGUCUGCCUAAAUCUCUAUGCUUCUUGUUGAAAAUUCAAUAUUCUUUGUCUAGAACUUUGCAAAUAUGACGGUAAAAAUAAUUAAAAGCAUUAAGUUACUGUGCUUUGCAUGUCAUUGUUCCAAAAUAUAGAAAAGCAAUAACUUUACUGAUUGGAAGAAGUUGUUUCAUUUGAAAUAAUUAUCAGCCUGUAAAAAAGGUAAAAAGAAGGAUAUCAUUGAUUGAUAUAGAUUCACUUUUGUUUUAGAUGAUGUUAAUGUUUAGUUAGUUCAUGAUAUUUUUUAAAUUUGUGCUUGAUUCAUUUGUGCUUGAUAUUUUAAUAAGUUUAUAAUCCCACCUUUAGCCAAUUUCUAUUAUCUUGAUCCAUUUGUUCUUAAUUGUUCUGCAACUGUGUUUCUAGGACUUCAACUAUAGCAAAUAAGAUGCGAAACAAUUGGUCUAGUACUCUAGUACAUGGCCAGAAACAUUAUAUAGGUUAGUAACAAGCUUUGAUAAAACCUUGGAAAUCAAUCAUUUGAUGAUAAACUAUGAAUUUAUUCCUUUAAGUAAUAACAUGAAGCAAUUUAGCUGAAGGUUUUUACCAACUGUAUAUUCCUCUUCGGCUCUUCCCCUGCAUUAAACAAAGGGAGUAUGUCUGAAAAUUUUGGAUUUACAACACUAGAAUCACUUGAAUAUAACGCUAGAAACAGAAGAAAUUUUCGCUGUCAUAUUUAAUUUCAUGGAGGAAAUACUUCAUUAUUAUUCAAUUUUAAGAUUUCUUUCUCAAAAUAAAAAGGAUAUUUUUGCUUUUGAUUCAUGAAUUUUAUAGAGUAAUUGGUGUUGAUCGUGUUGUUUUAAUCGGGUUUUGGGCGGAUUUUGGGUAGAUUUAUAUUCUCGAUUUGGAUAAGUGUUGAGCGAUUUUUUCUUAAUUAUCAAUGGUUUCAUAAUUACUUAUUAGAUUUCUGUAAAAUAAAAUUCAAUUUUUGGGCUUUUCUUUUAGUUAAGUUCUGAUUUCCAUUGAAGCGGAAAAUGGAGCAGCAAUCUUUGGUGCAAUCUCAAUAAUCAUGCUAUCUACGGCUACUAUUUAUGCCGCAUGCAGACCUGACAACAUCACCCCUUUGAGUAGGAUGGGUUAGUACCAGUUUGUUUGUUUUCUCUCUCUUCUCUUCUUUCUAAUUACUAGCUUUUUUAAUUGCUUAUUAAUUGUAUUUGAGGGCUGUUUGGCAUGUUAUAGUUGGUCUUAAUUUAUCUAUUUUUUUUUUUUUUUGCUAUUAAUCGAGAGCUGAUUUCAUGCCCCCCCUUUUUAUGUAUACUUUUUUUUUCCUGGUGUUUGUUUGAUUAAUCAAUCUAAUUUCUUAAUUUUAACAAGUUGGGUGAUGAAUUUUUAACUUUGCUUAUUUGAAUGUUACAUAGGUUUUGAUUCCUAUUCUGAAACCAACUGGAUACACUAUUGCAAAUCAUAAUAAAAUGUAAUUUUAAUCUCACCUUAAUUUAAUGCUUUUUUUAUAUAUACCUAUUUUAUGUUUCUUGAGUUUGUUUGCUAUGAGCAUUGUUUUAGAAAGUAGGAUUUUGGUGAUGAGUUUGAUUGGUAUGUUUAAGUGCAAUUAAGCCAUUUUCUUUCAAGUAGUUGUAGAAUUGGAUUCUAUGAGCGAAAACAAGCAGAUAUAUAAAUUGUUAUAAAGGUUUUGGUGAGGCCAAAUUAGUGAAUUAUAUUCUAAUUUGACACCAAGACAUUUAAUUAUCAGCAAAUCAGCUGUAGAAAUUAAGUUAACAACCUAGCUAGUAGGCAAGAGGCAGUAAGAUGGCGAAGACUUGAUUGUGUGGGUAGCCUGCACACACUUAAAAAGUCUAAAGUUGGGAUGAAUAUCAAGCUCAUAGAUGAAUUUAUGUGGUUUAGAUGUUAAAAAAUUGUUAUUUGCCUAUUUGGUAAUUCAUUUUAAAAUUGUUAUUUGGUAAUUGCUUUAAAAAUUCUUUAAGUUCUUUUAAAAUUGUGAUCUAAGUAGAUAUAUUCGAACCGUUCCUUCUCUAUUCAUGUCCGCAUUUCGUGUAGAUUUUUAGUUUAAAUGCACUAAUAUUAACAUGCACAGAGAUGCAGAGGGUCUAAAAACAAAUCAUCUUGGGAAUGAUUCUUGUUGCUUUUUUCCUUUUACUUUAUAGGCAAGUAUGUCAGGGUUGUAUAUUGAAGGAGUGAUCUAGCAUUGGAAUUUUGCAUGUUAAUGCCUGCACAUGGUGUUAAAUAAUUUUGCAAUGUAUUUAUAUGCAAUAUGCAUGCAUAUGAUACUAUACUUGUGCAGCAUGUUGGAGUCACUUAGUUACACUCUGAUUUUUCUCUUUGUAAAUUAUUCUCUUUGGAGAAUUAUGUACCCUCAUGGUGAAACAUAAUCUAGGUGUUAUUGAACAUUACAGCUUAAAUAUUUGCAGGCCCUAGUCUCUAUAUAGAUACCCAGAGGUACUCGGAGGAUCCGUAAGCUAAUGGAUAUUGGUUUGCAUUUCUCGUGUUUUGACAAAGAUAUAUACUAAGUUAUGGAGUGCAAAAAAGAAGAGGCCUUGAGGGCAAAGGAUAUUGCUCUGAAGAAACUGAAAGCAAAAAAAAUACUAGCAUUGAAGGUGCAUUCAAGUUGAUUGGAAAGGCUCGGUUGGUAUCGUUUGUGGACGAACUCUGAACAACUAUAAUAGUCGAACACAAUAUUUUCUGUUUGUUGCUGACUCUUGCCAUCCACUGUUGUUUGCUACUGCUGUUUGUUGCUACAUGAUGUUUGCUAGAAGCUUCUGUUGCUGCUAUUGCCGUUAUGCUAGUUUUUUGUUUAUUAUUUUCUCACUUUUUUUUAGCUAGAGAUCGAACUUGAUUUUGUUUUUGUUUGGAUUAUUAUCUUGUUUGGCCAAACAUUAAAAUUGUUGUUGGAUUUUUUUUAAAGAAUUAUGAAAUUAUUUCAAUCCAAAUUAUUAUCUGUCA